Molecule: ribosomal RNA, 241 nt
Filed under: uncultured eukaryote
Lineage: Eukaryota
Description: partial small subunit ribosomal RNA
Rfam family: Eukaryotic small subunit ribosomal RNA
Source: RNAcentral
AGCUCCAAUAGCGUAUAUUAAAGUUGUUGCGGUUAAAAAGCUCGUAGUUGGAUUUCUGUUGAAGUCAGCCGGUGUGCACCUCGUGCAUUAUUUGGCCUGGCUUUGGCAUCCUCUUGGGGAACGUCUCUGGACUUUAUUGGACAGGGCGAGAUUCAAGACUUUUACUUGAGGAAAUUAGAGUGUUCACGGCAGGCAAGUGCUUUGAAUACAUUAGCAUGGAAUAAUAAUAUAGGACCUUCGU